GCAUUGGUAGUUCAAUGGUAGAUUUCUCGCCUGCCAUGCGAAUAACCUUGGUUUAAUUCCUGCCCAAUGCA
This 71-nucleotide transfer RNA is filed under the name Danio rerio (zebrafish). It matches the Rfam family "tRNA". Rfam says of the family: Transfer RNA (tRNA) molecules are approximately 80 nucleotides in length. The record is from Rfam by way of RNAcentral. Lineage: Eukaryota; Metazoa; Chordata; Actinopteri; Cypriniformes; Danionidae.